This 415-nucleotide long non-coding RNA is filed under the name Prunus persica (peach). Its description in RNAcentral is "long non-coding RNA (PPER_LNC008154)". The record is from RNAcentral. Lineage: Eukaryota; Viridiplantae; Streptophyta; Magnoliopsida; Rosales; Rosaceae.
UUGGGCCCAAGUAUGGCAAGAGCACAAGCUAGGGCAUGGCAUGAGCAUGAGCACGGGCAUGGCACGAGCCCGGCCUGGCCCGUUCAAUGUGGACAUGGGCUUUGGGGCGGGCCAGGAUCAAUGAUUUUACUAAAUAGGCAGGCACUGCAUGGCCCGAUAAAUUAAAUGGGACGGCCCAGCGCAACACGAAAACGUUAAAAGCACUAGUUUAAAUGGGACGAACGAGCCCGACAUGGCCCAUUUGACACCUCCAGCAUAUCCUAAGUUGUCGGUCCUAUAUAACCAAAACAGGUUUAAUUUUUCAGUUGAAGGCCACUGAAUUUUCCUAUCGCGUUCGGUACUAGUCUACCGAACCUAAUUAGUGACCGCCAUGCAACUCAACACCCAAAAAAAGGCCAAAACAAAUUAACUCAUA